UGCGUAGGCGGCCCGAUUAGUCAGAGGUGAAAGCCUAUAGCUUAACUAUAGAAUUGCCUUUGGUACUGUCGGGCUUGAAUUAGGACGAGGUCAGCGGAAUGUGACAUGUAGCGGUGAAAUGCAUAGAUAUGUCAUAGAACACCAAUUGCGAAGGCAGCUGACUAGACCUUGAUUGACGCUGAGGCACGAAAGCGUGGGGAGCGAACA
Molecule: ribosomal RNA, 207 nt
Filed under: uncultured bacterium
Lineage: Bacteria
Description: partial 16S ribosomal RNA
Rfam family: Bacterial small subunit ribosomal RNA
Source: RNAcentral